GAUUGUGACUCAGCGGUAGAGCGCUCGCCUAGCAUGUGCAAGGCCCUGGGUUCCAUCCUCAGCAGCA
RNAcentral lists this transfer RNA (67 nucleotides) under Marmota monax (woodchuck). RNAcentral describes it as "tRNA.Ala". The record is from RNAcentral. Lineage: Eukaryota; Metazoa; Chordata; Mammalia; Rodentia; Sciuridae.